ACGCUCGACACCACGGGAAGCAGCAGUAGGGAAUCUUCCACAAUGGACGCAAGUCUGAUGGAGCAACGCCGCGUGAGUGAAGAAGGUUUUCGGAUCGUAAAGCUCUGUUGUUGGUGAAGAAGGAUAGAGGUAGUAACUGGCCUUUAUUUGACGGUAAUCAACCAGAAAGUCACGGCUAACUACGUGCCGGCAGCCGCGGUAAUCUGAGCGGGCUGGCAAGGC
Molecule: ribosomal RNA, 222 nt
Filed under: uncultured bacterium
Lineage: Bacteria
Description: partial 16S ribosomal RNA
Rfam family: Bacterial small subunit ribosomal RNA
Source: RNAcentral